GGGGGUAUAGCUCAGAGGUAGAGCGCUCGCUCGCUUUGCAUGCGAGAAGCCCCGGGUUCGAUCCCCGGUACCUCCA
This 76-nucleotide transfer RNA is filed under the name Dermacentor andersoni. RNAcentral's name for it is "transfer RNA alanine (anticodon UGC)". It matches the Rfam family "tRNA". From Rfam's summary of the family: Transfer RNA (tRNA) molecules are approximately 80 nucleotides in length. Lineage: Eukaryota; Metazoa; Arthropoda; Arachnida; Ixodida; Ixodidae. The record is from RNAcentral.